RNAcentral lists this ribosomal RNA (403 nucleotides) under uncultured bacterium. RNAcentral's name for it is "bacterial SSU rRNA". It matches the Rfam family "Bacterial small subunit ribosomal RNA", at positions 355 to 775 of the family's 1533-position model. The record is from RNAcentral.
UGAGGAAUAUUGCCCAAUGGGGGAAACCCUGAGGCAGCAACGCCGCGUGAACGAAGACGGCCUUCGGGUUGUAAAGUUCUUUUCUGGGGGACGAUGAUGACGGUACCCCAGGAAUAAGUUCCGGCUAACUACGUGCCAGCAGCCGCGGUAAAACGUAGGGGACAAGCGUUAUCCGGAUUUACUGGGCGUAAAGCGCACGUAGGCGGUGAGGUAAGUUGGCCGUGAAAGCUCCCGGCUUAACUGGGAGAGGUCGGACAAAACUGCCCCACUUGAGGCUGAGAGAGGAGAGCGGAAUUCCCGGUGUAGUGGUGGAAUGCGUAAAUAUCAGGAGGAACACCGGUGGCGAAGGCGGCCUUCUGGCCCGACACUGACGCUGAGGAACGAAAGCCAGGGGAGCGAACGG